RNAcentral lists this transfer-messenger RNA (344 nucleotides) under Eubacteriales bacterium. It matches the Rfam family "transfer-messenger RNA". Rfam says of the family: Bacterial tmRNA, also known as 10Sa RNA or SsrA, is named for its dual tRNA and mRNA-like properties. Its role is to liberate the mRNA from a stalled ribosome. The record is from RNAcentral. Lineage: Bacteria; Bacillati; Bacillota; Clostridia; Eubacteriales.
GGGGAUGUAAAGGUUUCGACGGGGAUCACAAACCUUGGUAAGCGAGUAGUGGUGAGGCACCACUUUAAAAGCUUCAACUUAAAAAAUAAACAACAACAAUAAAGUUGCUUUAGCUGCUUAAUGCAGCUCGCUCCCCUAUUGAGUACCACGGCAAUAGGCUGAGCGUCGACUAGUGGUUCCUGUGAACAGCCCACGCCUUUAAGCUGUCACACACAAAAGGCUACCAAGGCACAAAGCCUGUUGUUGGGCGUUGUGUCAAGGGAAUGUUAAUACAUCAACUGCACUCGGAGAAAGCCUUGGGGCGAGGUUUUCGGACAGGAGUUCGAUUCUCCUCAUCUCCACCA